GACGAACGCUGGCGGCGUGCUUAACACAUGCAAGUCGAACGGAAAGGCCCUGCUUUUGUUGGGUGCUCGAGUGGCGAACGGGUGAGUAACACGUGAGUAACCUGCCCUUGACUUUGUGAUAACUUCAGGAAACUGGGGCUAAUACCGGAUAUGAUCUCCUGCUGCAUUGUGGGGGUUGGAAAGUUUCGGCGGUUGGGGAUGGACUCGCGGCUUAUCAGCUUGUUGGUGGGGUAGUUGCUUACCAAGGCUUUGACGGGUAGCCGGCCUGAGAGGGUGACCGGCCACAUUGGGACUGAGAGACGGCACAGAAUCCAACGGGAGGCAGCAGUGGGGAAUAUUGCACAAUGGGCGGAAGCCUGAUGAAGAAACGCCGCGUGCGGGAUGACGGCCUUCGGGUUGUAAACCGCUUUCGCAUGUGACGAAGCGUGAGUGACGGUAAUGGGUAAAGAAGCACCGGCUAACUACGUG
Molecule: ribosomal RNA, 468 nt
Filed under: uncultured bacterium
Lineage: Bacteria
Description: partial 16S ribosomal RNA
Rfam family: Bacterial small subunit ribosomal RNA
Source: RNAcentral